AGGGCAAGUCUGGUGCCAGCAGCCGCGGUAAUUCCAGCUCCAAUAGCGUAUAUUAAAGUUGGUGCAGUUAAAAAGCUCGUAGUUGAAUUUCGGGGUCAGCAGGUUGGUCGUGCCAAUGGUAUGCACUGGCCUUGCUGAUUCCUCCCUCUUGAUGAGCCGUAAUGCCAUUAAUUUGGUGUUGUGGGGAAUCAGGACUGUUACUUUGAAAAAAUUAGAGUGUUUAAAGCAGGCAAGCGCUUGAAUACAUUAGCAUGGAAUAAUGAAAUAGGACGUUCGAUCCUAUUUUGUUGGUUUCUAGGAUUGACGUAAUGAUUAAUAGGGAUAGUUGGGGGCAUUAGUAUUCAAUUGUCAGAGGUGAAAUUCUUGGAUUUAUUGAAGACUAACUACUGCGAAAGCAUUUGCCAAGGAUGUUUUCAUUAAUCAAGAACGAAAGUUAGGGGAUCGAAGACGGUCAGAUACCGUCGUAGUCUUAACCAUAAACUAUGCCGACUAGGGAUCGGAUGAUGUUAAUUUUUUAAUGACUCAUUCGGCGCCUUACGGGAA
This 543-nucleotide ribosomal RNA is filed under the name uncultured Glomeromycotina. Its description in RNAcentral is "SSU rRNA". It matches the Rfam family "Eukaryotic small subunit ribosomal RNA", at positions 552 to 1096 of the family's 1831-position model. Lineage: Eukaryota; Fungi; Glomeromycota. The record is from RNAcentral.